GCUGUGGUGGGAGGCAGUUGAGCCUUGGAUUGUGUCCGCAUCAGGGCAGUUGGUAGAUGCUCCUCUGGGAGAGAUUCCCAGGGGUAACAGCCAUGGAUGAAGGGCCUGGGCUAGGGACAGGGACCAGAGCCGGUCCAGGGAGAGGACAGAGCCAACAGACUGGGGCGCACUGUAACAGCCCUGCUGGCAAGAGGGACCUGGGCAAGGCCCUCCAGGGAGCCCACGCUGCAAGUCAGGCCACAAGGGCCUCCGACCCUGAGGGCCGAUGAGGCCAGGGACAGGCCAGCCGGGCCGUGAGGCCCCUGGUGAGCCAGGCCCCAACCUCAGGCAGCGCUGGCCCCUGCUGCUGCUGGGUCUGGCCAUGGUCGCCCAUGGCCUGCUGCGCCCAAUGGCUGCACCGCAGAGCAGGGACCCAGACCCUGGAGCCUCAGUUGGAAGCAGCCGAUCCAGCCUACAGAGCCUGUGGGGCAGGUCAGCCCAAGGCUGCCCCCUCGGUCACUCUGUUCCCACCCUCCUCUGAGGAGCUCCAAGCCAACAAGGCCACACUAGUGUGUCUGAUCAGUGACUUCUACCCGGGAGCCGUGAAAGUGGCCUGGAAGGCAGAUGGCAGCCCCGUCAACACGGGAGUGGAGACCACCACGCCCUCCAAACAGAGCAACAACAAGUACGCGGCCAGCAGCUACCUGAGCCUGACAUCCGACCAGUGGAAGUCCCACAAGAGCUACAGCUGCCAGGUCACGCACGAAGGGAGCACCGUGGAGAAGACAGUGGCCCCUGCAGAAUGUUCAUAGGUUCCCACCCCUCACCCUACCCACGGGGGCCUGGAGCUGCAGGAUCCCAGGGGAGGGGUCUCUCUCUCUCCAUCACAAGGCAUCCAGCCCUUCUCCCUGCACUCAAUAAACCCUCAAUAAAUAUUCUCAUUGACAAUCAGAAAUCUUGUUUCAUCUCAUUUUUUCUUAAAUUCCUAGCCUUCCCGUGGAUCUCAGUGUGGGGUACAGGGAAUUCUGCAUCUAGUGUCAAAGUUACCCAAGGGGAGGAGGCUCACAGCCUCCCCGAGUCAUCUCCCCAAAGGGUCCUUCCUCGCCCAGUCACCCCUCCCCCAACUCUCCACUGUACCCCUGAGCCACCAGCCUGACAUCAGUUCAGACCAGUCCCACACCUUCCUCAAUUUUACUUCUCAACAAAGACCUGAUCAUGUAAAACCCA
This is a non-coding RNA of Cercocebus atys (sooty mangabey), 1206 nucleotides long. The record is from the annotation of a RefSeq genome assembly. NCBI's taxonomy places the organism in Eukaryota, Metazoa, Chordata, Mammalia, Primates, Cercopithecidae.